AGACAAUAAAACGAUGGAAUAGAAAAGCAGGGCCAUAUUUUUCAUAUUGAAAUUUACAACCAAACUUUUAUACAAAACAAAAACCACUUCAAAACUAUUCACAUUAAAAUGGAGAUCUCAAAAGAGGAUAGGAUCUCAAUCCAUCCAGGUCAUACUCAAGGCCCAUCUCGGUAUUAUCUUCUUAUUUCAAAAUCCUUCCCUUCAAGUUUCACCUCCAAGAUCUCCUUCCCAGACUUCUCCUCCUCAGCUCCUUAUCGGGUCCUGAAAUGUUUUUCCCCAAACUGGGAUGAGACUACGUCUCAGCGAGUCCUACCCCACUAAGCCCGAUUAGUAAACCAUUAUACUACAGGCUGCCUAAACACGCACAGGGCAGGAGACGUACCUUGGCAUCAGAUCCCACCUGCAAGUCAGUACAAUUCAUAAUAGGCACCCAAGCAAUCAUACCACCGAUCAAAGCAUCGAUCGAAUCGACCUAGUCGAUUACACACCAACAAGACCACUCACGGUCAUUUCCAAUCAGUCAAUCAAUCCACGACAUCAAAUCAAAUCAAUGAUCAAUCGACCUAGUCGAUUACAUGACAUCACGACCCAUGCUCGGUCGGCAUAUUCAAUACUAUCUAUAAAGUCCUAUCAAAUCAGGACUGCUCACCCAAAGCUGAUAAAUAGAUAGCAUAGCUCACCCAAAGCUGUUGAUAAGGUAUACUGCUCACCCAAAGCUGACAUAUCGCCCGUAGGUCGAUAUAGUAUACCGGUAUACUGCUCACCCAAAGCUGACAUAUCGCCCGAAGGCUGAUAUAGUAUACCAUAUGCUCACCCAAAGCUGAUAAUAAAGUAUACUGCUCACCCAAAGCUGACAUAUCGCCCGUAGGUCGAUAUAGUAUACUGGUAUACUGCUCACCCAAAGCUGACAUAUCACCCGAAGGCCGAUAUAGUAUACCCCAAAUUCUCACCAUAAGCUGCCAACCAUACUUUUAUAGUAUGCCGGAAUAAUCAUUUAAUCAAAUCACCAUUUUUUUUAUCCUUUCUGAUAAAAACUUACCCAUGCGUGGGCACACGGUCGGCCUUAGCUAAAAUAAUAUAAUUUCCUUUCCACGAAUCCCACCAUUAUCUGUAGUCCACCAAAACACUUUUGGUGCUGUCAACCGACACCUGGUUAUUUCCCAAUUAAUAACCAAAAUUCAACAAUUUAGGAAUAAAUCCUAAAAUCACCCAUAAAUUGAUUUAGCACAAAAUCAAGCUCAAUUGAAUAAACGGAUCGUGCCACGACAAUCAGCACGAGAUUUCGGUCGCCGGCCAUCUCAAACUUAAUUUCCGAAAAAUAAUUAAUUAAUUAAUUAAUUUCGAAAAUUAAUUAUUAAAUAUUAAAAAUUCCGUUUAGCUCAAAAUAAGGCCCAAUUAAAUAAACGGACUUCACCACGAUCAUCAGCAUAAAUUUCCGGUCAUGGGCCAUCCCAGUUGAAUUUUCGGAAAAUAAAUAAUUAAUUAAUUAAUUUCGAAAAUUAAAUAAUUAACAUUAAAAAUCCAAUUUAGCUCAAAACAAAGCCCGAUUAAACAAACGAACUCCACCACGGUCAUCAGCAUAAUUUUCCGGUUCCGGAUCAUCUCAGUUGAAUUUUCGGAAAAUAAAUAAAUAAUUAAUUUAAUUUCGAAAAAUAAUAUUUAAAUGCCAAUAAUCCCACUUAGGCCCGAAUCGUCAAAUUGAAGCCCGAUUAGGGGUCGGAAAAUUCCCGAGAUACUUCCAAUAAAUAGUAGACCACGUCUACUUGUUAAUUACACAAUCAAUUUAUCUAAAUCGCAUCACAAUUGACUAAUAAUUGCUAAUUUAUUCUAAUCUAACAACCUAAACAUAAUUAAUUAAAACUAAAUCAACCUUAAGCAUAAUUAGCCAACUAAUCCAGGAUUAGUGAGAUUACUCACCAAAUCGCGCGCAAAUCGGAUCAAUCCGACGGCGGCGACGCGAGGAACGAUUGUUCCCAAAGCGACUCGCGGAUCCGGGGCCCGGAAACGGCCCAAAAGCGGGCCCGAAGCUGCUGAAACCCACUCCGUGGGUCUUGCUGGUCGGGGCUGAACGGAGCCGCUCCGGCGGCUAGGGCGGCGAGGGGAAGCCGGCGGAGGGCGAGGGGGUCGCGGGGGGUGGUCUGGCGAGGUUGGGCGGUGGCCGGAGGUGGUCGGACGGUGGCUGGUCGGUGCGGAACAGGGGCGAAACAGGGCUGAUUCGCGCGGAGGGAGGAGCGG
Molecule: long non-coding RNA, 2235 nt
Filed under: Eucalyptus grandis
Lineage: Eukaryota; Viridiplantae; Streptophyta; Magnoliopsida; Myrtales; Myrtaceae
Description: long non-coding RNA (EGRA_LNC002807)
Source: RNAcentral